GGCGGAAUGUGUAAUGUAACGGUGAAAUGCAUAGAUAGUACCCAAGAACACCGAUUGCGUAGGCAGCUUACCAGCGUGGGAACUGACGCUGAUGCACGAAAGCGUGGGGAACGAACAGGAUUAGAUACCCUGGUAGUACACCCCGUAAACGAUGAUGCAAUCGAUGUUGGCAAUAUAGAGUCAGAGGCUGAACGAAAGCAGCAAGUGAUCCACGUGGGGAGUACGUCGACACCGAUGAAACUCAAAGGAACCGACGGGGGCCCGCACAAGCGGUGGCACAUGUGCUCUAAGUCGAUGACACGCGAGGAACCUUACAUGGGCGUAAAUGUAGCCAGACGAUUACGGAAACCGGGAGUGUCACCAACCGGCCGGUUACAAGAUGCCGCAUGUCAGUUGUCAGCUCGAGACCGUGAGGUGUACGUGCUUAAGUCCCAUAACCGAGCGUCAUCCCUUAUUGUUAGUGGCCAGCGGGUACAGCCGGGGACUCUAAGGAGACUGCCACCCUCAGAUGUGAGGAAGGUGGGGAUGACGUCAAGUCAGCACGGCCCUUACGUCCAGGGCUACACACGUGUUACAAUGACCGGUACAGAAGGCAGCAAACUUGAGAGAG
Molecule: ribosomal RNA, 610 nt
Filed under: uncultured organism
Description: bacterial SSU rRNA
Rfam family: Bacterial small subunit ribosomal RNA
Source: RNAcentral